RNAcentral lists this ribosomal RNA (516 nucleotides) under uncultured Glomus. RNAcentral's name for it is "SSU rRNA". It matches the Rfam family "Eukaryotic small subunit ribosomal RNA", at positions 569 to 1086 of the family's 1831-position model. Lineage: Eukaryota; Fungi; Glomeromycota; Glomeromycetes; Glomerales; Glomeraceae. The record is from RNAcentral.
AGCAGCCGCGGUAAUUCCAGCUCCAAUAGCGUAUAUUAAAGUUGUUGCAGUUAAAAAGCUCGUAGUUGAAUUUCGGGGUUAGCAAGUUGGUCGUGCCUUUGGUAUGCACUGGCUUUGCUGAUUCCUCCUUCUUGAAGAACUGUGAUGCUAUUAAUUUGGUGUUGCGGGGAAACAGGACUGUUACUUUGAAAAAAUUAGAGUGUUUAAAGCAGGCUAACGCUUGAAUACAUUAGCAUGGAAUAAUGAAAUAGGACGUUUGAUCCUAUUUUGUUGGUUUCUAGGAUUGACGUAAUGAUUAAUAGGGAUAGUUGGGGGCAUUAGUAUUCAAUUGUCAGAGGUGAAAUUCUUGGAUUUAUUGAAGACUAACUACUGCGAAAGCAUUUGCCAAGGAUGUUUUCAUUAAUCAAGAACGAAAGUUAGGGGAUCGAAGACGAUCAGAUACCGUCGUAGUCUUAACCAUAGACUAUGCCGACUAGGGAUCGGAUGAUGUUAAUUUUUUAAUGACUCAUUCGGCGU